UACUACAUUCCUACAUUCCUACAUUCCUACAUUCCUACACUCCUACAAUCCUACACUCCUGCAUUCCUACUUUCCUACAUUCCUACAUUCCUUAAUUCCUACAUUCCUAUAUUCCUACAUUCCAUCAUCCAUCAUCCAGCAUCCAUCAUCCUACAUUCCUACAUUCAACCUACCCGUCUUGAAACACGGACCGAGGAGUCUAACAUGCCCGCGAGUUCAACAUUGCAGAUGAUGGGCGUGCGAAAGCGAAAAGUAUUUCACUACUAGCGGAGCGCGUAUGUUAGGUCCCGAAAAAUGGCGAACUAUUUCUGCUCAGGCUGAAGUCAUUGGAAACUUUGAUGGAAGGUCUCACCGGUUUUGACGUGCAAAUCGAUCGUGUGAAGCAGGUAUAGGGGCGAAAGACCAAUCGAGCCAUUUAGUUGCUGGUUCUCUCUGAAGUUUCCCUCAGGAUAGCGGUCCCUACAGAAUAAUGUGCGGUAAAGAGAAUGAUUAGAGGUAUCUGGGAAAGCUUUUCCUAGGCCGAUUUUCAAACUCAGAAUGCGCAUCAAUGAUUUCUCCAUGAAUUGUUGAAUUAUCUUAGGGAUCAGUGGGCCUUUUUUGGUAAGCAGAUCGGGCGAUGAGGGUUCCUCCUAGAGUCGAGAUAACGUGCUCAAAGCUACAUCAAUUAAAUGAUGUCAGUGCAUACUGACAGCAGGAGGGUGGCCAUGGAAGUUGGAAUCCACUAAGGAGUGUGUUACAACUCACCUGCCGAAUGUACUGGCUCAGAAAAUUGAUAGCUAACCCGUAGCAACUAAUUCUCGACGCUAAGUAAGAGAGCGUAGUGGUCGGAUAGAAUCCAGAGCGUGAGCCUUGGUCGACCGGCCACCAUUGCAGAUCUCGGUGGUAGUAGCACUUGCUAAAAUGGAACCUUUUAGGACCACUUGGACGAAGGUUCCACGACAACAGCCAAUGUUCGUGGGUAAGUCGGCCUUAAUCGCGCAGUCGAGAAAAGCAACCAGGUUAAUAUUCCUGGACAACACAGGAAAACGGCAACGUUUGCGCGGGUAUUUGUUAGGUGUUGGAAGGAGGGGGACUUUCGUCCCUCUUAACAGCUGUACGCCUCUGGAACUGUGUGAAACAGAGAUAGAGGCAGACACUGGAAUAAGUACCUCUUGCGGGUACUCCUGAGCCAGCACUUGACCUCUGAAAAAUACCCGCGUUCUGUGGUGUAGCCGUACCAAUAGCCGCAUCAGGUCUCCGAGACGCAAAGUCUUCGGUUCAAUGGAUGAAUGUAAGCAAGGGAAGUCGACAAGUUCGAUCCGUAACUUCGGGAAAAGGAUUGGCUUCGUGGACUUAGUGAGGAAUGUCUGUCCUAGCGAGGAAUGUGACUCUACCGAGUUGCUCCUACGCUGGGCACAGCAACCUCACUAGCAAUACAUGAAACUGACGCGCAAACGAGGAAUCUGACUGUUUAAUCGAAACGUAGCAUCAUGCAGCGUGGUGUGGACAUGAUGUGAUUUCUGCUCAGUGCUUUGAAAGUUAAAGUUGAGCAACCGACAGAAGCGCAGGUCAACAGCGGGAGUAACUAUGACUCUCUUAAGGUAGCCAAAUGCCUCGUCAUCUAAUUAGUGACGCGCAUGAAUGGAUUAACGAGAUUCCCACUGUCCCUAUCUACUAUCUAGCGAAACC
This 1668-nucleotide ribosomal RNA is filed under the name marine metagenome. RNAcentral's name for it is "eukaryotic LSU rRNA". It matches the Rfam family "Eukaryotic large subunit ribosomal RNA", at positions 504 to 2366 of the family's 3401-position model. The record is from RNAcentral.